UAUUGAAUAAGUUUAGAAAUAGAGAAAGGUGGCCUCGUGCUACCGCCAAAGGAUGAGCCCGCGGCCUAUUAGUUAGUUGGCGAGGUAAUGGCUCACCAAGACGAAGAUGGGUAACCGGCCUGAGAGGGCGAACGGUCACACUGGAACUGAAACACGGUCCAGACUCCUACGGGAGGCAGCAGUGGGGAAUAUUGCACAAUGGGCGAAAGCUUGAUGCAGCGACGCCGCGUGGAGGAUGAAGGUUUUCGGAUUGUAAACUCCUGUUAAGUGGGAAGAAAGACUCAUGGCUAAUAUCCAUGAGGGAUGACGGUACCACUAGAGAAAGCACCGGCAAACUUCGUGCCAGCAGCCGCGGUAAUACGAAGGGUGCGAGCGUUAUUCGGAAUGACUGGGUGUAAAGAGCGUGGAGGCGGCUUAGUAAGUCAGCUGUUAAAUAGCCCAGCUUAACUGGGCAAAUGCGGAUGAUACUAUUAGGCUAGAGUACAAGAGAGAAGAGUGGAAUUCUCGGAGUAGCGGUAAAAUGCGUAGAUCUCGAGAGGAACACCGGUUGCGAAGGCGGCUCUUUGGCUUGUAACUGACGCUUGAGCGCGAAAGCGUGGGGAGCAAACAGGAUUAGAUACCCUGGUAGUCCACGCCGUAAACGAUGAUCACUAGAUGUGGGCUCUGCUUGCAGAGUCUGUGUCGUAGCUAACGCGUUAAGUGAUCCACCUGGGUAGUACGGUCGCAAGAUUAAAACUCAAAGGAAUUGACGGGGGUCCGCACAAGCGGUGGAACAUGUGGUUUAAUUCGACACUACGCGAGGAACCUUACCUAGGUUUGACAUGUAAACGCUACUGAUGG
Molecule: ribosomal RNA, 840 nt
Filed under: uncultured bacterium
Lineage: Bacteria
Description: bacterial SSU rRNA
Rfam family: Bacterial small subunit ribosomal RNA
Source: RNAcentral